GAUGAACGCUGGCGGCGUGCCUAAUACAUGCAAGUCGAGCGAACAGACGAGGAGCUUGCUCCUCUGACGUUAGCGGCGGACGGGUGAGUAACACGUGGAUAACCUACCUAUAAGACUGGGAUAACUUCGGGAAACCGGAGCUAAUACCGGAUAAUAUAUUGAACCGCAUGGUUCAAUAGUGAAAGACGGUUUUGCUGUCACUUAUAGAUGGAUCCGCGCCGCAUUAGCUAGUUGGUAAGGUAACGGCUUACCAAGGCAACGAUGCGUAGCCGACCUGAGAGGGUGAUCGGCCACACUGGAACUGAGACACGGUCCAGACUCCUACGGGAGGCAGCAGUAGGGAAUCUUCCGCAAUGGGCGAAAGCCUGACGGAGCAACGCCGCGUGAGUGAUGAAGGUCUGCGGAUCGUAAAACUCUGUUAUUAGGGAAGAACAAAUAUGUAAGUAACUAUGCACGUCUUGACGGUACCUAAUCAGAAAGCCACGGCUAACUACGU
This 496-nucleotide ribosomal RNA is filed under the name uncultured bacterium. Its description in RNAcentral is "partial 16S ribosomal RNA". It matches the Rfam family "Bacterial small subunit ribosomal RNA", at positions 28 to 506 of the family's 1533-position model. The record is from RNAcentral.